This 425-nucleotide ribosomal RNA is filed under the name uncultured Butyricicoccus sp. RNAcentral's name for it is "bacterial SSU rRNA". It matches the Rfam family "Bacterial small subunit ribosomal RNA", at positions 355 to 794 of the family's 1533-position model. The record is from RNAcentral. Lineage: Bacteria; Bacillati; Bacillota; Clostridia; Eubacteriales; Butyricicoccaceae.
UAGGGAAUAUUGGGCAAUGGGCGCAAGCCUGACCCAGCAACGCCGCGUGAGGGAAGAAGGUUUUCGGAUUGUAAACCUCUGUCCUAUGUGACGAAGGAAGUGACGGUAGCAUAGGAGGAAGCCCCGGCUAACUACGUGCCAGCAGCCGCGGUAAUACGUAGGGAGCGAGCGUUAUCCGGAUUUACUGGGUGUAAAGGGCGAGUAGGCGGGCUGGUAAGUUGGAAGUGAAAUGUCGGGGCUUAACCCCGGAACUGCUUUCAAAACUGCUGGUCUUGAGUGAUGGAGAGACAGGCGGAAUUCCUAGUGUAGCGGUGAAAUGCGUAGAUAUUAGGAGGAACACCAGUGGCGAAGGCGGCCUGCUGGACAUUAACUGACGCUGAGGAGCGAAAGCGUGGGGAGCAAACAGGAUUAGAUACCCUGGUAGU